GAUGAAGAACGUAGCGAAAUGCGAUAAGUAAUGUGAAUUGCAGAAUUCAGUGAAUCAUCGAAUCUUUGAACGCACAUUGCGCCCGCCAGUAUUCUGGCGGGCAUGCCUGUUCGAGCGUCAUUUCAACCAUCAAGCCCCAGGCUUGUGUUGGGGACCUGCGGCUGCCGCAGGCCCUGAAAAUCAGUGGCGGGCUCGCUAGUCACUCCGAGCGUAGUAGCAUACAUCUCGCUCUGGGCGUGCUGCGGGUUCCGGCCGUUAAACCACCUUCAUAACCCAAGGUUGACCUCGGAUCAGGUAGGAAGACCCGCUGAACUUAAGCAUAUCAAUAAGCGGAGGA
RNAcentral lists this unclassified non-coding RNA (337 nucleotides) under soil metagenome. RNAcentral describes it as "partial contains 5.8S ribosomal RNA, internal transcribed spacer 2, and large subunit ribosomal RNA". The stretch from base 1 to 120 matches the Rfam family "5.8S ribosomal RNA", at positions 35 to 154 of the family's 154-position model. The record is from RNAcentral.